UUGCUUCAGCAGCAAAUAUACUAAAAUUGGAACAAUACAGAGAAGAUAACCAUGGCCCCUGCACGAGGAUGACAUGCAAAUUCAGCAAGCAUUCCAUAUUUUU
Small nuclear RNA from Camelus dromedarius (Arabian camel), 103 nucleotides. The record is from Ensembl. Lineage: Eukaryota; Metazoa; Chordata; Mammalia; Artiodactyla; Camelidae.